AAAAAAACUGACUGCAAGGCUUAAUUAUCAUCUUUUGUGUACUGUUUUAUACGUAGUACUGUUGCUGUUUAUUGUUAUAUAUGUAGGCAUAUAUAUAUAUAUAAUAUUAAAAAAGCGUUGAAGUCGUAGUGUAAUGCUGAUUUGUGCGUGUGUGUAUGUCUUUCUCUCUUUCUUUCGCGCGCGCUCUCUCCCUCUCUCGUGAGCAGCGAAUCCGUCCUGAGUUUCCAAGCGAAAGUUGCAUGGAGACACACAGCGUAAGACGCGUGUAAUGAAGAGAAUGGUGAGAGAGGGAGAGAUAAAAGAGAAGGAAAGCACGAACAAACUCAUACCAAGCGAGAUCACAACAGAUCUCCACCGACUAGUCUGUUUUAGGAAAAAGAAAUAAGGGCAUCGGGGCGAUAUUGUAAAAAAAAAAAAAAAAAAAAAAAAAAAAAAAAAAACACUGCAUCGAUGCAACAGAAGCGACUCGGAGCCCUUGCACGGAGUUGGAGAGGCUGAAAUUAAUGUACAUUGCAUGCACUCCACGUAACGCUCCGGAGCGAUGCCUUUGUGAGUGUUUUUUUUUCGUACUGCGAGCUAAAAAUAGCAGCAGUGUUUGAUCGCGCUCCAGAAAUAGGCAGAGGGGUAACACAAGUAUAAAAAGGACUGCAAUUCUGAGAAACCUUGGACAUUGCUGAGCAAGGGCUCAUUGCAUAGGUAAGUACAUGGGCAAAGCGUUGUACUUCUUGUGUUUGGUUAUUUGCAACUGGGUUUGAUGCAUGCAUGGUGUUGGGUUAUACAGAAGCCAUUCCCGCCACAGAACAGAAACGACGCAGGGGUAAACAACAUUUUAACCACUGGCAUGGACUUCAUCCAAGCUUUGAUUGUAACUUCAUGUGUGUUUUUUUUUUCUCUCAGCUUCAUGGAAAUUAAAACGCCAUCUCUCUCGAGCAGGAAUCUCACAAAUCGUAAAUAUGACAAGCAAAAAAAAAAAAAAAAAAGCAAGACCAAACUCAUUUGUCUGACGGCGCUGUUGAGCCAUUUUACGCUUUCUGUCUUCGUUACAACUGAAAUUUCGCGAAUGGAAAUCCCUACCAUCAGAGGAACACCGGGUGAUGUUGGUUUACUAAACGAAGAGGACACUAGAUGAAAGCAUGCAUGGGAAAGAAGGAGUGCCACGAGGCGCUGAAGGAGAGCCGACACGGGGGGAACCCACAGGCUGCGCAGUUGGGCUGAAAAUACAAUGUGGCGUCAAGGGGAGCCUGUGCUCCUGCUCGACCUGCACCAAAAUUACCCUCAACUAGGCAUUUCUUUUUGAAUCCCACCCGCAGAUGGACGCAUCAGCGCGAAUACUCUGCUUUCCAGAGUCGUUCGAAAUGCAUCCUUAAGUUUCGUAUUCUAACUCCGCAUGACAGUUUUCCCGCCUGCUUUGUUCGUACAAUUCAGUUUGCAGUUAGAAGCUAAAGAUAAUAAUAUGGUAAUAGGCGGGCUGACUUGGAUUACUCUUCCGCCCACGUCAUUUUCAUUAUACAGCGCUGCAACACACUGUGGGUUUUUUUGUUUUGUUUUUUUCUUUUCGUUGCUAUGAACUGAAAUACUGCUCCGGUGCUGGCACACAUGCAUUCACUGUUUAUUUAUCAGUUCUAUUUACCUACAGAGUAUCACCAGCAAUCACAAAACUGCGUCUGUCAGUAGCCUACUCUUGACAGAUUUGUAACUUCAAGUGCAGCACACAGACUUCGCUGAAAUUUGGCAUAAAUCUGUCCAAGUCCGUGCUUUAGAGUGAGAAUACCUGCGCGUAAGAAACAACAGUUGGUAGACUCCGCUAUCGCGAUAUAUCGCGCCAAAGAGCAGUUACACUGUAACAAUGUAGCUCGUACGAGUCGACUUAGAUAGCAGAUUUCAGUUUUAUACGAGACGUGCAGUGCUUUCUACCCGAGUAUUCGUUAUCCUAGUUAUAUUUGUUGUAUACCUACCAAGAUACAUCAUCCAAAUGAAAUAAACACUGAAACUGGUCCAUUACUUCUAUCAGGAAUGUAAACCUGUAUUUAAUGAGCUGCACGACAUGGGAAACGAGAAGAAAAAAAAACGAUGUUGGUAACCUUGACCUCAAAGACCAUGUGGCUUUCUUUGUUAAACGCACCUAGUCGAGACAUGCCAAAAUCUUCUUAAAUAAUGCAAUACUGAUGGUGUAAUUUUGGUGGCAAAACAGAUUUCUCCGAGUCGUGACUGCUAUAGUGAGUAAUAUGGGCGCGUUGGCUGCGUCAGGAGAUGCAGUCGCUGUGCGCUGCAGACGGAAGGGGGAGAAUCGUGACUGACUGCUGGAGACGUCCGCAGACGAAACAACCACCCAACAAAAACAUCUUAAUGGCAUCUGUGCAAGAUAUUUACACAUGCUAUCUCUCUAGCCCGUUACUCUUUGUGUUGAGCCACCUCAACCUCCCCUUGCACCACCGAAGACAUGAGAAGAAUAUCUGUGAUUAAGGGACGGGAGGGAGGAUCUGAGUUUGGGAUGAGUUCCGACUGCUGUGUGUGUGUGUGUGUGUGUGUGUGUGUGUGAGAGAGAGAGAGAGAGAGAGAGAGAGAGAGAGAGAGUGUUUGUGUGUGUGUGUGUGUGUGUGAGAGAGAGAGAGAGAGAGAGAGAGUGUGUGUGUGUGUGUGUGUGUGUGUGUGUGUGUGUGUACCGGCCGGGGAGGGGGGUCCAGAUAUAGAUCGUGACCCUCCCACCUAGUACAGUUUCUUGUAUAUAGUUCCAAAAAGGGAUUGCCAGAGACUUUGUGGUGCAUUUUUGACAAAUGAUUGCUAUGUGGAUAUAGGAACAGGAAUUCUCUGGGUUUUACAAAAACAUUUGGAAGGAGUCUAGUCACUACAGACAUCUCAGAGUCUUCUUCAUGCUGCCCCAUGCACAUUAUUCACCUCCAUGGUGAAACCUGGAAGUCUGAAGAUCCACAGAUGUCAUCUGAGGCACCACCUACAAUUUUCUGCUUCUAUUAUCAGUAAAUGGACAUUUCCGUGUGCCAAGCAUCCUGUCGCAGUACCAUAUCGCGUUUCUACAGAGAGCACAGAGAGCAAGACAGAGGAAGGGACGAUGGUGGGCAUGUGCUGAGAUUCAGAAUGAAGUGGAUGAAUCAGUCAACACAGCUAGACAGGCCAUGCUGAACAAAAUCUUGUGGUUGUGUAUCUGCAGAAACUUUAAAGGGAGGAUUUAAGCAGCUUGUACAGAUGACCGUCAUGAACACGUGCACAGGGAUUUGGAUAACUGCGUUGAAAUUCAUUUAGGACUGUUCUGUACUCGUCGAGGGCAGCUGGUUAAUUAAGGACCAAUUUGACACCGUCAGGUAUUUAAGUUUCUGUCUCUAUAGGGCUUGCGUUUGGAGCAGUAUGCAGACUUUGAGGACGUUGCCAUUGCCAGUCGUUUCUUGAUGUAUAUGAUGCGUAUGGUAUUUAAAAAAAAAAUAAGUAAAUAAAUAAAACCAAAAAAGCAGAAUAAGGUAAGGACCAAGACGUAUGCUAAACUAAACUCUGGAGGAUGAAGUAAAACAUUUAACAUUCUUAAUGUGGCUUGUUGGAGCACGACUGCGUGUGUGUUUCGUUUGUCUGUAAGUAGGCUGCUGUGUGGCAGGGGCAGAGGGUGAUACUGUUAAAUAGGUGCAGGGUCUCCAACGUUAUCCUAGAGGACAAUGAGUGUUUUCUGCGCAAAGCUGUGAAUGAUUGUAGCAGGACGAUUCUUACAAAAAUUAUUUUUGAGGUUUUUGAUGCGCAGUUAAUGUCGAGAAGGUCGCUGUCCACUGCAAAGGUGCUGAUAAUGAAAAUCUGCACACAGACAUGAGAUUUUAGUGUGUAUAUGUCGGACUAUACGUUAGGUAAAUUGUCUAUAAUUGUUUGAUUGCUUAUAGUGAUGUUAAGGGUGAUACAGACACACAGCACAUCGUAGUUCUAACAUAUGUCCACGGCUUAAGAUCAAUUACAUCCUCAGGCAUAGUGUCCGAAAUAAAUUUAAUCGAGAGGCACAUAGGCAAUUGUAAUGGUAAUGUACAAAACAACCAGAAAGCAGGAGAAAGGUGAGACAUGUGAAAACAUCGAUACUGCAAGUGGGGUGAGAGUGGUUCAGGGCGAGGGUGUGUGUGUGCAUGUACCCUUUGGGUGGAGUAUCUCUAAAUUACUGAAUAUGAAUGAUUUUAUUUAACAUAAAAAUAAACACGAGGCAAUCUGUGGAACAACGCGAGGGGUGUACGUCUAAAAACACACUAUAAUCCACGCUGCAAUCCAAACGUCAACUGUAGUAGGCUGACAGUGUCUCUAACAAUAUAAAAGGAUUUAUUUGAAAU
Ictalurus punctatus (channel catfish) is the source of this 4307-nucleotide long non-coding RNA. Lineage: Eukaryota; Metazoa; Chordata; Actinopteri; Siluriformes; Ictaluridae. The record is from Ensembl.